RNAcentral lists this ribosomal RNA (537 nucleotides) under uncultured bacterium. Its description in RNAcentral is "bacterial SSU rRNA". It matches the Rfam family "Bacterial small subunit ribosomal RNA", at positions 777 to 1319 of the family's 1533-position model. The record is from RNAcentral.
AAUAGAUACCCGGGUAGUCCACGCCGUAAACGAUGGAUACUAGCUGUUUGGGAUUAAUUCUGAGUGGCUAAGCGAAAGUGGUAAGUAUCCCACCUGGGGAGUACGGGCGCAAGCCUGAAACUCAAAGGAAUUGACGGGGGCCCGCACAAGCGGUGGAGCAUGUGGUUUAAUUCGAUGAUACGCGAGGAACCUUACCAGGGCUUAAAUGUAGAUUGACGUAUUUGGAAACAGAUAUUUCUUCGGACAAUUUACAAGGUGCUGCAUGGUUGUCGUCAGCUCGUGCCGUGAGGUGUCAGGUUAAGUCCUAUAACGAGCGCAACCCCUGUUGUUAGUUGCCAGCGAGUAAUGUCGGGAACUCUAGCAAGACUGCCAGUGUAAACUGCGAGGAAGGUGGGGAUGACGUCAAAUCAUCACGGCCCUUACCGUCCUGGGCCACACACGUGCUACAAUGGCCGGUACAGAGAGCAGCCACUUAGCGAUAAGGAGCGAAUCUAUAAAGCCGGUCACAGUUCGGAUCGGAGUCUGCAACUCGACUCC